RNAcentral lists this small RNA (217 nucleotides) under Staphylococcus aureus. Its description in RNAcentral is "Transcript". Lineage: Bacteria; Bacillati; Bacillota; Bacilli; Caryophanales; Staphylococcaceae. The record is from RNAcentral.
AUAACAUUGUAGCGCCUAAGACAUAAAUUUUUAUCCAAGUCUAAAUGCAAUAUGUAACAAACAAGCUAGAAACACAUAUGCAGGUAUGUUCAUCAGUAACAUGUAAUGAAUCAAAUCAAUAUCAUUCAUGUUCGAUGAUUUCUUCGCAUUGUUUCUAGCUUUAAUUUAUCAUUAUUUAAUUUUAAUAACCAAGGAGAUGAUAACGUCAUUCUUUAGU